UGGGGAAUUUUGGACAAUGGGCGCAAGCCUGAUCCAGCCAUGCCGCGUGCAGGAUGAAGGCUUUCGGGUUGUAAACUGCUUUUGUACGGAACGAAAAGGUGCCUUCUAAUAAAGGGCGCUCAUGACGGUACCGUAAGAAUAAGCACCGGCUAACUACGUGCCAGCAGCCGCGGUAAUACGUAGGGUGCGAGCGUUAAUCGGAAUUACUGGGCGUAAAGCGUGCGCAGGCGGUUUUGUAAGACAGAGGUGAAAUCCCCGGGCUCAACCUGGGAACUGCCUUUGUGACUGCAAGGCUGGAGUGCGGCAGAGGGGGAUGGAAUUCCGCGUGUAGCAGUGAAAUGCGUAGAUAUGCGGAGGAACACCGAUGGCGAAGGCAAUCCCCUGGGCCUGCACUGACGCUCAUGCACGAAAGCGUGGGGAGCAAACA
This 427-nucleotide ribosomal RNA is filed under the name uncultured bacterium. RNAcentral describes it as "bacterial SSU rRNA". It matches the Rfam family "Bacterial small subunit ribosomal RNA", at positions 355 to 774 of the family's 1533-position model. The record is from RNAcentral.